Long non-coding RNA from Lutzomyia longipalpis, 356 nucleotides. RefSeq lists it as uncharacterized. The transcript has 2 exons. The record is from RefSeq and is a predicted model, not a curated record. NCBI's taxonomy places the organism in Eukaryota, Metazoa, Arthropoda, Insecta, Diptera, Psychodidae.
AUACAAGCUUCGCAGUUGUCUUCAGAAGUGUUGACAAAUAUUAAAAAUCUUCAACAAUAUGAAGCUCUUCAAGUUCUUAAUCUUCACCAUUUUCUUCUUUCUUGCUUUAACUACCACAAUGGCUGCAGUACAAGGGAAGGGCAAGGGAAAUGGCAAAGGGAAUGAAAAAUGCAUCGAUGAAGUCUGUCAACAAGUUUGUGAACAACAUGAUUACGAGAAUGGAGGAUGCAUUACUCAUGGAGAACAUGCUGGAAAAUGCAUGUGCUAUGAAUAUUUUUAAUAUCACAAUUUCUGCAUAAUUUAUUUGAUGUUUGACCACGCUGUAUGUUGGAAUAAAAUUGUGUUGGUUUGGUAAA